ACGGGUGAGUAACGCGUAGACAACCUACCUUCUAGAUGGGGACAACACCGCGAAAGUGGUGCUAAUACCGAAUGUUGUACUGCGGGAGCAUUUCUGUGGUACUAAAGGUGGCCUCUAUUUAUAAGCUACCGCUAGAAGACGGGUCUGCGUCUGAUUAGCUAGUUGGAGGGGUAACGGCCCACCAAGGCGACGAUCAGUAGCCGGUCUGAGAGGAUGAACGGCCACACUGGGACUGAGACACGGCCCAGACUCCUACGGGAGGCAGCAGUGGGGAAUCUUCCGCAAUGGACGAAAGUCUGACGGAGCAACGCCGCGUGAGUGAAGAAGGUCUUCGGAUUGUAAAGCUCUGUUAUUAGGGAAGAACGUACUAUGUGUGAAUAAUGCAUAGUAGUGACGGUACCUAAGGAGGAAGCCACGGCUAACUACGUGCCAGCAGCCGCGGUAAUACGUAGGUGGCAAGCGUUGUCCGGAAUUAUUGGGCGUAAAGAGCGUGUAGGUGGGAUGAUAAGUCCAUCUUAAAAGUGCGGGGCUCAACCCCGUGAUGGGAUGGAAACUAUCAUUCUUGAGUGCAGGAGAGGAAAGCGGAAUU
This 589-nucleotide ribosomal RNA is filed under the name uncultured bacterium. RNAcentral's name for it is "bacterial SSU rRNA". It matches the Rfam family "Bacterial small subunit ribosomal RNA", at positions 102 to 668 of the family's 1533-position model. The record is from RNAcentral.